UCGGGUGUGGUGUACGGUGCACGAUAGUAUAAAUUUAAGAUCCAUGACCCAACCAUUGAUGCUGCAGGCCGGGGUUCGACUCCCCGCACCCGAA
This is a non-coding RNA of Mycena maculata, 94 nucleotides long. The record is from the annotation of a GenBank genome assembly. NCBI's taxonomy places the organism in Eukaryota, Fungi, Basidiomycota, Agaricomycetes, Agaricales, Mycenaceae.